This 3592-nucleotide long non-coding RNA is filed under the name Homo sapiens (human). RNAcentral describes it as "HSALNT0281935". The record is from RNAcentral. Lineage: Eukaryota; Metazoa; Chordata; Mammalia; Primates; Hominidae.
UUGGAUAAGUCACUUAGCUUGCCUUGGCCUCUCUUUGCUCAUCAUUAAAAUGAGGAUGAUACUACUUAAACUCAUUUGACCCACACAAUAAGUUAGGGAGGUUCCUAGGAAAGAGCAUUGCAAAAGUUCUACUCAUUCUUUCCUGUGUGACUCACUGAUUAUGCCAUAUUGGUCCCCUGUAAAUGCGGGUUUCUUUGUAUGAGACCCUCAUCAUUAAGUAGAGUGAAUUCUCAGAAUCUGACGGCAAUCAAUGUGGCCAUCAGACCAGCAGCAUCAAUAUUAACUGGAAAGCUGUUAGAAAUGUAAAUUAUCAGGCCUUACCCCAGACCUAUUACAUCAGAAAUAGUGGGGUAGGCCCAAUAAACUGUUUUAACAAGCUCUCCGAGUGAUUCUGAUUCAGUCUAAAAUUUGAUUGUCUAAUUUCCUUCUAAUAAUUCUAUUCAUCUAUACUAAUAUAGUUCUCUGUUUAUUUAGCUGCUCCCUUGAGAUUGGAAACUUUCUGAGAGAAGGGAUAUGUCCCAAAUGUCUACCACCAGCACUCACUAAAAUCCUGAUGAAGGAUUAUUGUAAGAAAUACCUCUUAUUGAAGAUCUGUUUGUCUGCAUUAUAAACAGAGGCCUCCCUUUGAGAGUUCAUCUGCAAUAUCACCUUCUGAAAUGAGACACAGCUAUUUAACAGAACUGACCUAUUUGCAGGACUAAGACUGAUUUGAGAAGAUAUGGGCUGCUUGUUCCAAUCUGUGUUGUCCUUCCCAUAUUGCCAAUCUCACAUCUCUUAUCUGAAUCUCUCUAAAGCUAGUCACUUGGGCUUUAAUAUGUGAAACUUUCUAAAAAUAAAGUUUUAAAUGGGGGACUAAUAAAAACCAAAAAUAUUUUACCCCAAAAUAUACUUUUUUGACAUAUUUUGGGAUGGCUGUUCAGAGGGCCUGCAGACAGGAAUAGCCCUGAAAAGCUUUCUUUUGUGGAGUAGAUUUGCAUCUGUAGAGAAAAAUCUACAUUAGUGAAAUAAACAGCCAGACUUUUUCUGAGGUCCUCCCCUUUAUCCAGAUCUGGUAAUGAUUAACUCGACCACAGGCUGCCACUUAUUUUUUCUGAGAGCUGCUACCUGUGAGUCUUCAUCUACAUAACAAGGCUGCCUUUACUCCUUGCCUUUCUUUCUCUCUCCCUCCCUUAGCUUGUCUCCCCAUGCUCCAAUCCCCUAUUCUUCUGUAACCUCAAGAUGGUAUAAUAGAGACAACCAUCUGGCCCUUUCUUUGAGCUUUCAUAUUUUACAUGUUUCUCGUGUACAUAUGUGCAUGUUAAUACAUUUUGUAAGUCUUUUCUCCUAUUAAUCUUCCUUUUGUCAGUUGAUUUUCAGUGAACAUUCAGAGAGUGAAGGGGAAGGUUUCUUUUGGCCACUACAACAUCGACAUUUUUUUAUCCUCCAGUUUGACAAAAACUAAAACCUUUAUAACAAACUGUGGUAGCAAGCUUGUGGAAAACACUCUCAUUCAGUGUUGUUAGGAGUUAAGUUUGUUAGAACUCUACAUAAGGCAAUUUGUCAAUAUCUGUCAAAAUUAAAAAUGAAUAUAGCAAUUGACUAAGCAAUUCCAAGUAUUCAUGCAGAAUGUUUCUAAGAGUAAAAUAUUGAAAAUAGUCCACAUGUCUUUUAUAAGGACUGUUUAAAUGAAUUAAAGCACAUUUAAUCAAUUAAAUGCACUGUAAAUGUCACCCCCUAAAAAACGUUUUGUGCACUAAUAUGCAUUUAUGUUCAAAAGAAAUACACACACAGACACAUAGGAUUAAUGUGCUACUCAGGGAGGGGAAAUAGAUGGCUGAGAAGCUGAGCUGGGAGAAAACCUUUUCACAGCCUUUCCUGAAAGUAUGUUUGAGAGGAGACACAGGAACAUCUGGAAAUGGGGGAUAUGGAGCAGAAAAAAAAGCAUAUUUUAUCCCAUAUGCCCACUCUGAGUAUUCACAUCAUGCAUUUGUAAUGGAGUUGAAGUACCUGAAGUGUCUCCAACUUGGAGACAAGAAACCUAGGGCGGGUUUGAUGGCUGAUAAUUGAUAACCUCUCAUAAAGAAAUGUAGAUUUUCUCCUUUCCAUUUUAAAUAAUAGGAUUACAAGUAAUAGAUAGAGGCUACAAGACAAUAAAAUGAUUGUUCAAUAUAAAGAAGGAUUUCUAAUCCUUAGAGCUCUUCAAAGAUGUGAUACGGUGACUUAGAAUGUGGAGUUGCCCAUUACUGGGACUGUCAAGCCAAGAUUAAGCAAUGGGCAUGUUAUAAAGGAAAUAAAAGCUUCAGUUGAAAUACUGAACUAGACUAGCAAUUCCCAAUAUUUUCUACACUUAUGGAAGAUGACAUUCACAUGUGUAAUACAUUCCAAGAGGCAUAACCAGACCUAUGUGUAAUUGUCUGGCAGGAAUCUACCUUUUUUUUUUUCUUUCACUAAGAAUAGCAUAUCAGAAGCUAGAUGUCAAGGAGAGUAACAUUAUUAAGGGGAUAACCGUGAAUUAUUUCCAUUGAAAGAUAUAGAUAAAAUAGGCAUAGAAAUACACAUAGAAGUGUACCAUAGAUGCAGCUAUCAUAGAAAUAGACUGGCAGGAAAUCUUGGUUAUUUAACUAGUAUUGCUAACAAUUUACCUGUGACAUAAUUAAUUACAAAAACUAGGAUAUCUAAAAACUAUAGGCAAAAAUACCAAAACUGAUCUUAUACCUUGCUACUACUCAAAAUGUCCUCCACAGACCAGCAGGAGAGGCCUUACCUGGGAGCUUGUUAGACCUGCAGAAUCUCAGCAUCCACUCCAGACCUGCUGUGUCAGAAUCUACAUUUUAACAAGAUCUCCAAAUGAUUCAUAAGCAUAUCAAAGUUUGAGAAGCACUGGCCUAGAUAAAUGUUGAAUUCCUUCUAGAUGGAAAUGUAGGUAAAAAUGACAGGACCAGAUAUGAUGUCAGCAUCUGUAAUAAAGCCUAACCAUAUAUUCCUGCUUCCAUGCCUCCACAAUUUUGGAUGACCUUUCAUCCUUUAAGUAUAGCUAUACCAAAAGAGGCAAGCUAUUUUCUGGAGAGCAGUUGCUACUCAGCGUUCAGUUGCUGAUAGAUUGUUUCCACACAAAAUUGCAAUUCAUAACUCAGGAUCUGCUCUAACUUUCAAGAUUCCAAGCAUUAGUUGUGACAGUUUUGAUUUUGAGUUUUUAUGUUCAUACCCAUUCUCAUCCCUGUAACUUUUGGCAUAUACCUAAAGAUCUAUUGAGAAAAGAAAUUAUAAAAAUAAAGUGGUACUAUAAUCUGAAAGAUAACAGUGCUUUGAAACUUUUCAUUACGUUGUCAAAAAAAGAACAAGGAAAAUGGUGCUUUUAACUGUUCAAUACUUUAUAGUGGCUUUCUAAUACAUCACCCCAUGUCUGUAGUGUGAUACCCAGUCUCAUUUUGCAGCAAUGCAUUACUUAUGCGUGCAUAUCAUGCUAAUGAUUUUCAUCUUGUCAUUGGAAACUAAUCUGGAAAUGACUUUUCUACAGGUUCUUUGAUAAACAAUAAGAGGAAAUUUUUUCUUUGUGGAAAGAUUGUGUCACUAAUGCAAGAAGCCUACUGAAAAGUAAUAAACCUCAUGAUAU